GACGAUCUCAAAUCCUUACAAGUGGUUCCACGACAUCACCACUUCGGGGGCUUGGCUCGCCGACGAUAUAAGUGAAAUGAAAAUAUUGUUAUUUAUUAUAUAUGUUCAAAAUAAAUUUUUUGAAUGAAAUUUAUAGAUUAACUCCUUUUUUUAUUGGUGUUUCUUGAUAUAGCACAUCGACUUGAGCAUGGAUUUGCUACGAGAUCGUGCUGAAAGACAUCCAAAAUCGUUCAACAUUUCUGGCAGACUCAUAUUGAACACCGAGCUCAUCCGUGCCGUUGACAUUGAGUACCACUCGUUUCAGGCUAUGGGUAGCGAGUACAUGGUGCCGGAAUAUAUGAUGGAAUGGGUCGUAGGGAUGUGACCGAGUGUCGGUGGAAAGCCAUGGGAUGGCUGUACGCAUAUGUACAUACCAGUAUGUGUGAAUCAUCACUACAUUGCAGUGAAAAUCGUAUUCGCCGACUCCACGAUGUAUGUGUUCGACCUCGAUCAUUCAUGCCUGACACAAGGCCAGCUCGAGCAAAAUCUAGAGUCGGUGUUUGUGAUCGUUCCCAUGAUGGCUAGACAAGUGAACAUCAUUGUACAUGACAGAUUCGCCACCAUGCGGAACACGACGACGGCGAGGCAGCAAAUAUCGUAAGUAUUUGUAAUUUUCUUUUUGUCAUUUACAUCUUAGUAACUAACUAAUUUUCGAUGUGCUAAUACAACAUUGUUUAAUUGUAUGGGUGAUUGCGGCAUGAUCGUCAUCAAGUACAUAGAAUUUUUUAGUAUGGCACAUAAGGUUGAGGCAAUCAACCAGGUAUGGAUACAAAAUUGGAGAAAUAAACUAGUAUGUGAUUUAUUUGAAUUUAAUGGGAAUCCGUAAAUAAUUGUACAUAUUUUUACAUUUAUUUAAACAUUGUACAGUUCAUUCAUUUAUUUGUAAUUACGAAAGAAUUGUAAAAUGUUAAUUAUUUAUGUAAUA
This 964-nucleotide long non-coding RNA is filed under the name Olea europaea subsp. europaea. The record is from RNAcentral. Lineage: Eukaryota; Viridiplantae; Streptophyta; Magnoliopsida; Lamiales; Oleaceae.